AUUGAACGCUGGCGGCAGGCCUAACACAUGCAAGUCGAACGCGUGGCGGACGGGUGAGUAAUGUCUGGGAAACUGCCCGUUGGAGGGGGGUAACUACUGGAAACGGUAGCUCAUACCGCAUAUCAUCGGAUGUGCCCCGAUGGGAUUAGCUAGUAGGUGGGGUAACGGCUCACCUAGGCGACGAUCCCUAGCUGGUCUGAGAGGAUGACCCGCCACACUGGAACUGAGACACGGUCCAGACUCGUACGGGAGGCAGCAGUGGGGAAUAUUGCACAAUUGGCGCAAGCCUGAUGCAGCCAUGCCGCGUGUAUGAAGAAGGCCUUCGGGUUGUAAAGUACUUUCAGCGAGGAGGCGUUACUCGCAGAAGAAGCACCGGCUAACUCCGUGCCAGCAGCCGCGGUAAUUC
This 406-nucleotide ribosomal RNA is filed under the name uncultured bacterium. Its description in RNAcentral is "partial 16S ribosomal RNA". It matches the Rfam family "Bacterial small subunit ribosomal RNA", at positions 30 to 526 of the family's 1533-position model. The record is from RNAcentral.